Molecule: ribosomal RNA, 253 nt
Filed under: uncultured bacterium
Lineage: Bacteria
Description: partial 16S ribosomal RNA
Rfam family: Bacterial small subunit ribosomal RNA
Source: RNAcentral
UACGUAGGGACCAAGCGUUGUUCGGAUUUACUGGGCGUAAAGGGCGCGUAGGCGGCGUGGUAAGUCACUUGUGAAAUCUCUGAGCUUAACUCAGAACGGCCAAGUGAUACUGCUGUGCUAGAGUGCAGAAGGGGCAAUCGGAAUUCUUGGUGUAGCGGUGAAAUGCGUAGAUAUUGGGAAGAACACCGAUGGCGAAGGCAGCCAUCUGGACCGACACUGACGCUGAGGCGCGAAAGCGUGGGGAGCAAACAGG